AUUGAGUCUCACAAGCUGACGUUCCGUGCGAAGGCCAAGGCUCGAACAGACCACGGAGCGGAAAUCGUCGUCUCCAAACCCCCCACCCUUUCCAGCAGCACCUGCCCCCGGCGUAGCACCUCCGCCAGCGACAGCGACAGCCUGGGCUCCGUCGCCUCCCCGUCACCGCCGCCGGCCGCGCCCUCCCAGCAAGGCUUGUGACCCCCGGCCCCGCUCCGCGCCCCGGGGACCCCAGCUUGGCUCUCUUAACGCGGUUCUGGCUUUAGGUGGGAAGGGGCCGAUGUUCCUCGGGCCCGCCCGGGCUGGGGUCCCUCGGCGGCCGGGCAGGGCUCCCCUCCCUCCCUCCCUCCCGGUCCUGCCCUCCCGCUGGCCCGGGACUCGCGGGGGUUGCUGCGCCUCGGGGCCGGCCCGAGCGGCUCCGGCUGUGCCAGGGCAGGGCAGAGCAGAGCCCUGGGGGCGGGGCCAGGCCGAGUUAACAGGGAUAAGCUGUGAUCUUUCUCUCUGUCUCUUUUUUUAACCUCCUCCCUCCUCGCCGCUUCAGUUUCUGCCGCCUGUGGGAUGCUGAUAAAUCCCCUCCACACUCGUUAGGCUGUUUUAACUGUUGACUUGAACCUUUUAUUCUUUGUGACGAAGUGUUGAUGAUUUAUCGUGUUCGAACCCGUGCUAAGUUUCCUUUUCUCUUUCCUUCUUUUCCGACCCGUAGGAGAGUAGGGACAUUUAACCGCUGCUGCCGUGCUGGCUACUUACUGACAUAUCCAGCCGUUGUAACUUCUUUGUUGUUGUUUGGGGUUUUUUCUUUUUAAUAUUUUAAAACGAUGGAGCGAGUUCAUGGGAUUAAGCCAUGUCCGGAACGAAAGGCACAGGAAUGUGUAAAGGGCAAACUUGCUGUGACAGCUCAGGUGGAGCCUGUGUUGACCUCGAGAUGUGUAAUUGAUGCUCGAGAUGUGUUAAUUGAUGCUCGCGAGCCCUCCCCGGGUGCCUUCUGCCGAGGUGGUUUAUUUAUUAACGGCACGGCCGAGCCCUGGGAUUUGUCCCGUUUUUCCAAGGCGAGGCUGGAGGGAGCAGGAGGCGGCCGUGGCGGGGGCCGAGCGGCCUCCAGGCUCAGGGGAAAUGUCCCCCAAGGCCUCGUGGCCCUCGGAGCCGGCGGGUGGGGCGGAAGAGGCUCCGGGCGGCGGCAGCAGCAGCAGCAUGGAAAGGGCUCUGAGGGCCUCCGGCUCUCCCUCCUCCCUCCCCGCCUGAGCCCCAGCCCGGCAGCGCUCACCUUCCGCCCUCCUCGCACGGGUCCCGCCGGCCGAGAUCACACACGAGGCCCCAGCGCCCCUCGCCGUCCCCGCCCGGCCGCCCGCAGCCCCCGCUGUCCCUCACGCAGAGCACCGAGCCAGGAGCGAGCGCAGUGACCGCGGGCUGGGGGCGUGCGGCCGGGCAGGAGGGCUCGGGGCAGCGCCCCGAGGGCGAUCCCGGCCCUCGGCUUCCUCCGUGGUCUCGGGAAGCCACUCAACCUCUCUGCCUCAGUUUCCCCAUCUGCAAAGGUGGGGGGGAUUCAAUUUUACCUCACCGGGCUGUUGUGAGGCGCGAGCAGCGCGUGACGUGUUCUCUAAAUGUGAUGUGUUAUUAUUAUUUUGUGUCAUAGGAUUAUUGGAUUAUUCUGCAGGGCGUGCCCGAGGAGGGGGGACUCCGCUGUCCCUGCGCCGUGGUGGGGCAGGCGAGGGCUGGGAGGGGAGGUCAGUGCUCGGUGUGAGGCAGCAGCUCAGGGGGAGCCCAGCGGUUGCUUCUGCCUUUGUGUCUCCCCUCCCCGGGGGCUGUACGAGCGUCGUCUCCUUAGCAACAUUUCCUGACUUGAUGUUGUGAUUCUUACUAUUGUAAAGGGUUGAAAUAAAGCUUCUAGAUGUUCCUCCUCAGGCUGCUGUGGCUCUGUGGGGCGGGAGGGCCGGGCGGGGGGCGCUGGCACAGCCCGGGGCUCCUGAUGUGGGGCUGGCUGAGGAAGGCGCUGAAGGAAUUUGGGUGUCU
This 2007-nucleotide long non-coding RNA is filed under the name Camarhynchus parvulus. RNAcentral's name for it is "lncRNA (ENSCPVG00000009996.2)". Lineage: Eukaryota; Metazoa; Chordata; Aves; Passeriformes; Thraupidae. The record is from RNAcentral.